Long non-coding RNA from Felis catus (domestic cat), 867 nucleotides. RefSeq lists it as uncharacterized. The record is from RefSeq and is a predicted model, not a curated record. NCBI's taxonomy places the organism in Eukaryota, Metazoa, Chordata, Mammalia, Carnivora, Felidae. The transcript has 2 exons.
GGCUCGCAGGAGGGCGGGGCGGAGGAGGUGAAUGGAGCCGCAGGUAGCGCUGGAACAAAGCGGCUCCACUCGAGCCGCGCGCGUGCGCAGGGACUGCCGCGCUUUUCCUACCGAGCCAGUGUCAUCUGCCCGGGGAGGGAAUUAGCGGCUAAGCCCUGCUGUCCGCCGGAUCCGUUUUCUGCAGGCGGAGUGUCCUAACUUCCUUGCGGUUUAACCCUCCCACUCUGCCUGAGUCUGGUCGGCAAACAGCCACUAGCUUCUACCUACCCCUAGCUGGAGGGAGUCGGGGUCAGAGGCGGGGCCGGAGGUGCUUGAGAUUUGCCGAAGGGAGGGCUUCUGGAACCCGGAGGAUUUGAGCUUUCCUCUGACAGGAAGGCAUGAAGAGGGGCGGCGCUGGAGCAGUCCCCACUUCCCCCAGUCUUCCAUGUGGAGGUUGAAGGGUUUCCAGAGCCACAGGGCUGUGUCUCAAAGGAGCAAGGGUCUCUCCCACAGUCACACUCAGAAACUCCAGAGCACUGCAGCCAGAGAUGGUCUUAACCACCCGGGACUCUUCCAGGAGGCAUGCACACGCUAGAGGAGAGACCUGUGAGGAUGUGUGGAAAUAGAGAAACUCUCCAGGAGGUGGGGGCGUCCUCCAGCAGGGAUGUAAGAAGAGGCAGCGUUCAGAUGACUACAGGAUGAGGGGGGCACCGAGAAGAGGGUGACGUUAGAAGCAAAGGAGUGGAAGAGAAUUAGUAUGGCAGUAUGAGCUGCCAGCAAGGUUGUGGGCUCCCGUCACUCAGCUUGGAGGAGUAGCCCAAAGCCUUGGUUCCCGAGUGGAAGCCCUGCCUCCAGUCUUGAACAGCUAAUAAAGUGGAUCAUAGCAGG